Molecule: ribosomal RNA, 986 nt
Filed under: human gut metagenome
Description: bacterial LSU rRNA
Rfam family: Bacterial large subunit ribosomal RNA
Source: RNAcentral
AUAACGGUCCUAAGGUAGCGAAAUUCCUUGUCAGGUAAGUUCUGACCCGCACGAAUGGCGUAACGACUUGAGAGCUGUCUCAACAACAUACCCGGCGAAAUUGAAGUACUGGUAAAGAUGCCAGUUACCCGUGAUAAGACGGAAAGACCCCAUGGAGCUUUACUGUAACUUGAUAUUGAAUUUUUGUAUUACAUGUACAGGAUAGGUGGGAGACAGAGAACUAAUGCCGCCAGGUGUUAGGGAGUCGAUGUUGGGAUACCACUCUUGUAAUAUGAAGGUUCUAACCUGCACCCGUGAAUCCGGGUGGGGGACACUGUCAGGUGGACAGUUUGACUGGGGCGGUCGCCUCCUAAAAGGUAACGGAGGCGUUCAAAGGUUGGUUCAGCACGGACGGAAAUCGUGCAACGAGUGCAAACGCAUAAACCAGCCUAACUGCGAGACCGACAAGUCGAGCAGUAACGAAAGUUGGAGUUAGUGAUCCGGCGGUAUGAGAGUGGAAUUGCCGUCGCUCAACGGAUAAAAGCUACCCUGGGGAUAACAGGCUGAUCUCCCCCAAGAGUCCACAUCGACGGGGAGGUUUGGCACCUCGAUGUCGGCUCAUCGCAUCCUGGAGCUGAAGUCGGUUCCAAGGGUUGGGCUGUUCGCCCAUUAAAGCGGUACGCGAGCUGGGUUCAGAACGUCGCGAGACAGUUCGGUCCCUAUCUAUCACGGGCGUAGGAAAUUUGAGGAGAGCUGACCUUAGUACGAGAGGACCGGGUUGGACGUACCGCUGGUGCACCUGUUGUUCUGCCAAGGGCAUAGCAGGGUAGCUAAGUACGGACGGGAUAAACGCUGAAGGCAUCUAAGCGUGAAGCCCCCUUCGAGAUAAGAUUUCCCAUAGCGUAGGCUAGUAAGGACCCAUGAAGACUACAUGGUUGAUAGGCCGGAGGUGGAAGUGCAGUAAUGUAUGUAGCUGACCGGUACUAAUAGUCCGAGGGCUUGACCAA